Long non-coding RNA from Triticum dicoccoides, 564 nucleotides. RefSeq lists it as uncharacterized. Lineage: Eukaryota; Viridiplantae; Streptophyta; Magnoliopsida; Poales; Poaceae. The transcript has 3 exons. The record is from RefSeq and is a predicted model, not a curated record.
UCUACUCUAUGUUUACUGAAUUUACUCCAUGUUUACUGAAUUUUCUCCACUACUCUAUGUUUACUGAACCACUAGUUUCUGAACCACUUCACUGAAUGUGAGAUGUACCACUGAAUUUCACUUCUGCUAGUACUCCAAGAAGACUAUGCCAACGGCAACCAAGUGGGCUUUGUUGAGUUCGUGCAAUGUUCCAAUUGAGGGAGGAGGUGGUAGACUGUUUGCAGAUGUGGUUGUCUUGAUGAGAUUCAGUUUGAUCAGACCAUCCCAAUGUCACUUUGCAAUUGUUCUGCUUCUUUUCUAAGCAUGGAGCUGACAAUUAUCUGGGAUGAUUGCAUUGCAACUGCCAUUUCCUGUGGAUAGCUUGUACGCCGACCCCGAGCGCAAGGCUUAGGAUGUCUUGGGCCUGUACCAUGGAUUAGGCCGCACACUCUUCAGUCCAGCCAGUAGAGAAAUAAUUCAGGAGGUGAAGACCAGGAGUUUUGUGACCCUCCAUUUAAAACAGGGCAAGCCACUUCAUCCACUUGCUUGAUGGCAAUUGCAAGGCCAUGGCUUCCAACUUGCAGA